AGCGUGCGGACGUUAAGCUGGUGCUCUGGACUUUAACUUACAAACGAGGGUGUAUUUUCCCACACAUUUACCUCAGUAUACUUGGCUGGUGGACUGACUAAUCCAACCGCGAAUUCAUCUCUGCUCUCUACCUGGAUGAAUAUGGAGAUUCCGAAGUCCGCGAUGCCCCCAUGACCUCGAGGUCGCCCUCUUCCCUCCCGGCGACGAUAUGAGAAAUACCUGCUCCGCUGCGGCCAGAGUUCAUCGCAUCUACUUAGACGGUAUCUACAUCUCCACCACAUCUGCACAAUACCUUCUCCGCCCACUAUGAAGUAUUUGAUGGUGGCAGUUCUCGUGGUCAGUCUGGCGGCCUCGGAAGAGGUCAUGGCCUCGUCGCAUGGCUCGGCGCAGCCCUCGCCCGUCCAGCCCCAUGCGCACUCACACAGGGCACAGGACGCCGCCGCAGCUCCGCCCGCGCACCGAAAGGAGAAGGUGCGGCACGCGCACC
Penaeus indicus is the source of this 487-nucleotide long non-coding RNA. RefSeq lists it as uncharacterized. Lineage: Eukaryota; Metazoa; Arthropoda; Malacostraca; Decapoda; Penaeidae. The transcript has 4 exons. The record is from RefSeq and is a predicted model, not a curated record.